Molecule: long non-coding RNA, 299 nt
Organism: Tupaia belangeri chinensis (Chinese tree shrew)
Lineage: Eukaryota; Metazoa; Chordata; Mammalia; Scandentia; Tupaiidae
Exons: 3
Source: RefSeq, a predicted model, not a curated record
UCUCCCAGAUUCUCUUCAGUGGCAUUCACUUCCUGGCAAAGAAAUCAGCCACUUCUCCAUAUCCAGGUCAUAAAAUUACCAGGAAGGAAUCUGAUUGCCCAGCCUGCGUGCAUACUCAUCCCCUCUGCCAAAUCACCUCACCAGAGAGAGAAAAAGAAAAUGAGAAAGCAAGCCACCAGUGCCAUCUCCCAUCAUUUCCCCCCAUGGCAUUCUGCAAUCCGGAUGCACAGACACAGGAAAUGCCAACCAAGAAUAAACCAAGACCUGCAGAUGGAGAUCAAUCGAUCAAUAAAGGAGGC